RNAcentral lists this ribosomal RNA (542 nucleotides) under uncultured bacterium. RNAcentral's name for it is "bacterial SSU rRNA". It matches the Rfam family "Bacterial small subunit ribosomal RNA", at positions 335 to 870 of the family's 1533-position model. The record is from RNAcentral.
CACCUACGGGAGGCAGCAGUGGGGAAUUUUGGACAAUGGGCGCAAGCCUGAUCCAGCCAUGCCGCGUGAGUGAAGAAGGCCUUCGGGUUGUAAAGCUCUUUCAGACGGAAAGAAAUCGGUGCGUUUAAUACAUGCACUGGAUGACGGUACCGUAAGAAGAAGCACCGGCUAACUACGUGCCAGCAGCCGCGGUAAUACGUAGGGUGCGAGCGUUAAUCGGAAUUACUGGGCGUAAAGCGUGCGCAGGCGGUUAUGUAAGACAGAUGUGAAAUCCCCGGGCUCAACCUGGGAACUGCGUUUGUGACUGCAUAACUAGAGUACGGCAGAGGGAGGUGGAAUUCCACGUGUAGCAGUGAAAUGCGUAGAGAUGUGGAGGAACACCGAUGGCGAAGGCAGCCUCCUGGGCCAGUACUGACGCUCAUGCACGAAAGCGUGGGGAGCAAACAGGAUUAGAUACCCUGGUAGUCCACGCCCUAAACGAUGUCAACUAGUUGUUCGGUGAGGAGACUCAUUGAGUAACGCAGCUAACGCGUGAAGUGACC